This 86-nucleotide microRNA precursor is filed under the name Microcebus murinus (gray mouse lemur). RNAcentral's name for it is "microRNA 188 (ENSMICG00000019080.3)". It matches the Rfam family "mir-188 microRNA precursor family". Lineage: Eukaryota; Metazoa; Chordata; Mammalia; Primates; Cheirogaleidae. The record is from RNAcentral.
UGCUCCCUCUCUCACAUCCCUUGCGUGGUGGAGGGUGAGCUUUCUGAAAACCCCUCCCACAUGCAGGGUUUGCAGGAUGGUGAGCC